RNAcentral lists this ribosomal RNA (696 nucleotides) under uncultured bacterium. RNAcentral's name for it is "bacterial SSU rRNA". It matches the Rfam family "Bacterial small subunit ribosomal RNA", at positions 32 to 715 of the family's 1533-position model. The record is from RNAcentral.
AACGCUAGCUACAGGCUUAACACAUGCAAGUCGAGGGGAAACGACAUCGAAAGCUUGCUUUUGGUGGGCGUCGACCGGCGCACGGGUGAGUAACGCGUAUCCAACCUGCCCACCACUUGGGGAUAACCUUGCGAAAGUAAGACUAAUACCCAAUGAUAUCCCACGAAGGCAUCCGAAUGGGAUUAAAGAUUUAUCGGUGAUGGAUGGGGAUGCGUCUGAUUAGCUUGUUGGCGGGGUAACGGCCCACCAAGGCUACGAUCAGUAGGGGUUCUGAGAGGAAGGUCCCCCACAUUGGAACUGAGACACGGUCCAAACUCCUACGGGAGGCAGCAGUGAGGAAUAUUGGUCAAUGGGCGAGAGCCUGAACCAGCCAAGUAGCGUGCAGGAUGACGGCCCUAUGGGUUGUAAACUGCUUUUAUAAGGGAAUAAAGUGGGUCACGUGUGACUUUUUGCAUGUACCUUAUGAAUAAGGACCGGCUAAUUCCGUGCCAGCAGCCGCGGUAAUACGGAAGGUCCGGGCGUUAUCCGGAUUUAUUGGGUUUAAAGGGAGCGUAGGCCGGAGAUUAAGCGUGUUGUGAAAUGUAGUGGCUCAACCUCUGCACUGCAGCGCGAACUGGUCUUCUUGAGUACGCACAACGUGGGCGGAAUUCGUGGUGUAGCGGUGAAAUGCUUAGAUAUCACGAAGAACUCCGAUUG